UACGUAGGGAGCAAGCGUUGUCCGGAACCAUUGGGCGUAAAGCGCGCGUAGGUGGCUUCGUAAGUCCGUUGUGAAAGUCAAAGGCUCAACCUUUGAAAGCCGAUGGAUACUGUGAAGCUAGAGUACGGAAGAGGCGAGUGGAAUUCCUGGUGUAGCGGUGGAAUGCGCAGAUAUCAGGAGGAACACCAAUAGCGAAGGCAGCUCGCUGGGGCGUUACUGACACUGAGGCGCGAAAGCGUGGGGAGCGAACAGG
RNAcentral lists this ribosomal RNA (253 nucleotides) under uncultured bacterium. RNAcentral describes it as "partial 16S ribosomal RNA". It matches the Rfam family "Bacterial small subunit ribosomal RNA", at positions 524 to 776 of the family's 1533-position model. The record is from RNAcentral.